GCCGUGGUGGUGUAGUGGUAGAGCACGCCUGGUCCUUGGUCACUCAUUUGUUGUAAGUCUCUCAUUUAUUCCAAAAGUUUGUCUCUCUUUAGGGGAUCGGGAGGUCGCAGGUUCGGUUCCUGCCUACGGUG
Molecule: transfer RNA, 131 nt
Filed under: Aureobasidium melanogenum CBS 110374
Lineage: Eukaryota; Fungi; Ascomycota; Dothideomycetes; Dothideales; Saccotheciaceae
Rfam family: tRNA
About the family: Transfer RNA (tRNA) molecules are approximately 80 nucleotides in length. Their secondary structure includes four short double-helical elements and three loops (D, anti-codon, and T loops).
Source: Rfam by way of RNAcentral